GUGUAUGGCCAUACCACCCUGAACAUCUGAUCUGAGAAGCUAAGCAGAGUUGGGCCUGGUUACUACUUUGAUGUGAGAAUUGAAUGAUUAAAUAGUAUAUUCU
Molecule: ribosomal RNA, 103 nt
Filed under: Jaculus jaculus (lesser Egyptian jerboa)
Lineage: Eukaryota; Metazoa; Chordata; Mammalia; Rodentia; Dipodidae
Source: RNAcentral